UAGCCUUUAGCAACACAAGUAUUAAAGGUCCUGCCUGCCCAGUGAAAAUUUUUUAACGGCCGCGGUAUUCUAACCGUGCAAAGGUAGCGCAAUCACUUGUCUUCUAAAUAAAGACCAGUAUGAACGGCUAAAUGAGGACAAACCUGUCUCCUACAGUUAAUCAGUGAAACUGAUCUCCCAGUCCAAAAGCUGGGAUACUAACACCAGACGAGAAGACCCUGUGGAGCUUUAAACCCACCUAGUAACACAUAACUAGCACAAAGUUUUAAGUUGGGGCGACUUCGGAAAAAAACAAAACUUCCGAGCACAGAACCACCAGUUCUUAACCGAGGCACACAAACCAAAGAAAAACUGACCCAGUCCACACUGAUCAACGAACCAAGUUACCCCAGGGAUAACAGCGCCAUCCCCUUUAAGAGCCCAUAUCAACAAGGGGGUUUACGACCUCGAUGUUGGAUCAGGGCACCCAAAUGGUGCAGCCGCUAUUAAAGGUUCGUUUGUUCAACGAUUAACAGCC
RNAcentral lists this ribosomal RNA (517 nucleotides) under Lerista walkeri. RNAcentral's name for it is "partial 16S ribosomal RNA". It matches the Rfam family "Bacterial large subunit ribosomal RNA", at positions 1816 to 2595 of the family's 2925-position model. The record is from RNAcentral. Lineage: Eukaryota; Metazoa; Chordata; Lepidosauria; Squamata; Scincidae.